Bos indicus x Bos taurus (hybrid cattle) is the source of this 397-nucleotide long non-coding RNA. The record is from Ensembl. Lineage: Eukaryota; Metazoa; Chordata; Mammalia; Artiodactyla; Bovidae.
UUCUUUCCUUGAUGUCAAUUUAUAUUUUAGUCCUUCUUGUUUUUCCUUUUUCAAGGAAGUGACCCCAUAGCUGUUUUUCUUGUGUGCUCAUGGACCCAAGACCCAGAUGAUUUCAAACAUAACCUUCCCGACCUUAGGCUAUUUUCUUGGCCAAUCACUAUUCUCAACUCUGAAGAAGUCUUUCAGGCUCAUUUGCUACCGGACUCCGAGAUGACUAUUUUAAUGCCUGUAGAAUUGAUGCUUUUGAACUGUGGUGUUGGAGAAGACUCUUGAGAGUCCCUCAGACUGCAAGGAGAUCCAACCAGUCCAUUCUGAAGGAGAUCAGCCCUGGGUGUUCUUUGGAAGGAAUGAUGCUAAAGCUGAAGCUCCACUACUUUGGCCACCUCAUGCGAAGAGU